GAUUUCAGCUGAAAAAGUCAUCAACAACAAAGUUGUAUAACUCGUCAAUAUCUAUAACUUUUAUUUUAGUCAUUUCUUCAUCCGACAAAGUGAUAGUAACAUUGUUCACAAAAUUUACAUAUCUUAUAUGGUUUUAUAAACUAUAAGAGAGAUAUGUAAAUUUUUUGAAAAUAUUACUAUCACUUUAUCGGAUGAAGAAAUGACCAAAAUAAAAGUUAUAGAUCUUGAUGAGCUAUACAACUUUGUUAUUGAUGACUUUUUCAGCUAAAAUU
This is a non-coding RNA of Oryza glumipatula, 272 nucleotides long. NCBI's taxonomy places the organism in Eukaryota, Viridiplantae, Streptophyta, Magnoliopsida, Poales, Poaceae. The record is from Rfam.